GAUGGGCAUGGUGGUGCUUGCCUGUAAUCCCUGCAAUUUGGGAGGCUGAGGCAGGAGGAUCCCAAGUUGGAGGCUGACCUCAGCAACUUAGUGAAGCUCUCAGCAACUUAGUAAGACCCUGUCUCAA
RNAcentral lists this small RNA (127 nucleotides) under Marmota monax (woodchuck). Lineage: Eukaryota; Metazoa; Chordata; Mammalia; Rodentia; Sciuridae. The record is from RNAcentral.